RNAcentral lists this long non-coding RNA (393 nucleotides) under Dermacentor andersoni. RNAcentral describes it as "uncharacterized LOC126533893". Lineage: Eukaryota; Metazoa; Arthropoda; Arachnida; Ixodida; Ixodidae. The record is from RNAcentral.
AGUGCUCUACGGCGGCCAGCUCGCGGCCACGCUGGAGGGCUUGCAGAGGAACAAGGACAUGACGGUCGUCAUUCUAUUCCACUUUGACAAGAUGGCCAUCUCGCUGCUCGGCGCGCCCGAGCCGGAGUCGCCGGUCGUCGUGCCCUUGACGAGGUCGGCGGCCGACCCGACCCUCAAGGAGAUCACGGUCAGCCGAAACCUGCAGACGCACACCGUGGAAAUCUACACCGGCCUUUCAUCAGCCGUGUGAGACAAGUGCAGGGGCUGGAACGCACACUGGACCGUUCAGACGCUGGAGACGUGUAGCUCACCUGUAUAUGCACGUUUACUUUCAACCUCCGCGCCUCCGGGGAAGAGAACGAACGGUGUUCAAUAAACGAUUACUCCUCAAAA